RNAcentral lists this ribosomal RNA (440 nucleotides) under uncultured bacterium. RNAcentral's name for it is "partial 16S ribosomal RNA". It matches the Rfam family "Bacterial small subunit ribosomal RNA", at positions 338 to 795 of the family's 1533-position model. The record is from RNAcentral.
CCUACGGGUGGCAGCAGUAGGGAAUAUUGCUCAAUGGGGGAAACCCUGAAGCAGCAACGCCGCGUGGAGGAUGAAUGUUUUAGGAUUGUAAACUCCUUUUGUUAGAGAAGUUUAUGACGGUAUCUAACGAAUAAGCACCGUCUAACUCCGUGCCAGCAGCCGCGGUAAUACGGAGGGUGCAAGGGUUACUCGGAAUCACUGGGCGUAAAGAGUGCGUAGGCGGGGUAAUAAGUCAGAUGUGAAAGUCUGUAGCUUAAGCACAGAACUGCAUUUGAAACUGUUACUCUUGAGUGUAGGAGAGGUAGGUGGAAUUCUUGGUGUAGCGGUAAAAUGCGUAGAGAUCACGAGGAAUACUCAUUGCGAAGGCGGCCUGCUGGAACAUUACUGACGCUGAUGCACGAAAGCGUGGGGAGCAAACAGGAUUAGAUACCCGAGUAGUC